UUGUGUCCAUCGGUCAACAGGUCAUUACAGCGUAAGCAUCUGCCCGGCAUUGGGGAGAUAACUUGAGGAAACUCAAGCUAAUACCGCAUACGCCCUACGGGGGAAAGCAGGGGCUCUUCGGACCUUGCGCUAUCGGAUGAGCUUAUGUCGGAUUAGCUAGUUGGUGAGGUAACGGCUUACCAAGGCGACGAUCCGUAUCUGGUCUGAGAGGAUGAUCAGCCACAUCGGGACUGAGACACGGCCCGAACUCCUACGGGAGGCAGCAGUGGGGAAUAUUGGACAAUGGGCGAAAGCCUGAUCCAGCCAUGCCGCGUGUGUGAAGAAGGCCCUCGGGUUGUAAAGCACUUUCAGUGAGGAAGAAGGCUUGUCGGUUAAUACCCGGCAGGAAAGACAUCACUCACAGAAGAAGCCCCGGGUAACUCCGUGCCAGCAGCCGCGGUAAUACGGAGGGGGCAAGCGUUAAUCGGAAUUACUGGGCGUAAAGCGUGCGUUAGGCGGCUUGGUAAGCCGGUUGUGAAAGCCCCGGGCUCAAACCUGGGAAUGGCAUCCGGAACUGUCAAGCUAGAGUGCAUGAGAAGAAGGUAGAAUUCCCCGGUGUUUCCGUUGAAAAUGCCGUUGAGA
Molecule: ribosomal RNA, 621 nt
Filed under: uncultured bacterium
Lineage: Bacteria
Description: bacterial SSU rRNA
Rfam family: Bacterial small subunit ribosomal RNA
Source: RNAcentral